CCCUUAGAUGUCCUGGGCCGCACGCGUGCUACACUGGCACUUGCAACGAGUACUUUGCUUUACCGAAAGGUAAUGCUAAUCAUCAAUAAGUGUCGUGAUGGGGAUAGAUCUUUGGAAUUAUGGAUCUUGAACGAGGAAUGCCUAGUAAGCGUAGGUCAUUAGCCUACGCUGAUUAAGUCCCUGCCCUUUGUACACACCGCCCGUCGCUCCUACCGAUUUCGAGUGGUCCGGUGAAACUUUUGGACCGUGCGACUUUAUUGUUGUCACGGAAAGUCAGUUAAACCAUACUACUUAGAGGAAGGAGAAGUCGUAACA
Molecule: ribosomal RNA, 315 nt
Filed under: uncultured eukaryote
Lineage: Eukaryota
Description: partial 18S ribosomal RNA
Rfam family: Eukaryotic small subunit ribosomal RNA
Source: RNAcentral